GGACAUUUAUAUAUAUAUAUAUAUAUAUAUAUAUAUAUGUAUAUAUAUACAUAUUAGGGCUGUCAAAAAACAAAACGCGCAUUGAAAGAUUUACAGCCGUCAGUGGCACCUGUAGUCUUGAUCCAGAGGGUGGCAGAAAGGGAAUCAGAAGAAGAUGCAGCAGGGAUGGCGGUUCGGGAAAAACACGGUGGACUGAAAAGUGAGGAAAUUGAGAAAGGACUUACCGUAAAAUACCAAAUAAUAGCCGGGGGGUUUAGUUGUUUCAAUCACUUAACAGACCAAAAGGCAAUUUGGGACAGGCGUUUAAUUCCUUCCUCACAAUAAUCCUGGAUGAAAACAUUACAAACUUCUCCAGCUUCUCGGUGAAUUCUCUGGCAUCCUCCUGUAAGUGAAGUUGCUGCGGCGGAGGAAACGAUUCAGCCAACCAGCACUCGCUGCAAACUCCUCAUCUCUGCUGUCACUCACGGUGGCGGACAUUUGUUUCUCCAUCGUCCUGAUAAUUCUGCGGGACACUCUCUCGUGGCGUGCCCGUUUGCUGAUAACUCAUCCCCGCAUGUUUAUCUCAGGCUCCUCGCUAGCCUUCUUCCUCCCUCCAGCAGGCAGCCUGGCCCUGUUGCUGUCCUCCUCGGACAGACGCUCAAGCUCCGUUUCUCUCACUCUCUUCUGGUCGACAGAGAAACAUCUAGCGGCUGCUUCUCCCGAGUUUUCCUCUGCAUAUUUUAACAGAAAGUUUGAAUUUCAAAGGAAAACUCGGGAGAAGCAGCCGCUAGAUGUUUCUCUGUCGACCAGAAGAGAGUGAGAGAAACGGAGCUUGAGCGUCUGUCUGAGGAGGACAUCAACAGGACCAGGCUGCCUGCUGGAGGGAGGAAGAAGGCUAGCGAGGAGCCUGAGAUAAACAUGCGGGGAUGAGUUAUCAGCAAACGCGCACGCCAUGAGAGAGUUCCGUUCCGUUCCGUUUUCUUUCCGCUUAUCCAUGAGGGUCGCGGGAUGUUGCCGCUUUUUUCCCCCCUAAGGGGUUGCGGGGCUUACUGGGGCCAAAUCCAGUCUUACUCUAUGGGCGUAGGCCAGGGUACACCCUGGACGAGUCGCCAGCUCAUCGCAGGACCCUUACUGAUGGCAGUGGCUGCCUUCACAAGGUGCCAACUGCACAUCAGGAGCAACUUCGGGGUUCAGUAUCUUGCUCAAGGAUACUUCGACUUGUAGCUCAGUCCCGCCCUGGGGAGCUGGGAUUCGAACCAGUGAUCUUCUGAUCACCAGUCAACCAGCUCUACCCACUGAGCUACAGCCGCCCCUUGAGAGAGUGAGAGUGAGCCAUGAGAGAGUGUCCCACAAAAUGAUCAGGGUGAUGGAGAAACAAAUGUCCGCCACCGUGAGUGACAGCAGAGAUGAGGAGUUUGCAGCGAGUGCUGGUUGGCUGAAUCGUUUCCUCCGCCGCAACAACUUCACUUGCAGAAGGAUGCCAGAGAAUUCACAGAGAAGCUGGAGAAGUUUGUGACAUUUUCAUCCAGGAUUAUUGUGAGGAAGGAAUUAAACGCCUGUCCCAAAUUGCCUUUUGGUCUGUUAAGUGAUUGAAACAACUAAACCCCCCGGCUAUUAUUUGGUAUUUUACGGUAAGUCCUUUCUCAAUUUCCUCACUUUUCAGUCCACCGUGUUUUUCCCGAACUGCCAACCCUGCUGCUUCUUCUUCUGAUUCCCUUUCUGCCACCCUCUGGAUCAAGACUACAGGUGCCACUGACGGCCGUAAAUCUUUCAAUGCGCGUUUUGUUUUUUGUUUUUUUAUACCGAGCGUUAAUCGCGCGUUAAAAAAUUAACGGCGUUAAGAGGAUGUUGCGUUAACGCGUUAUUAACGCGUUAACUUUGACAGCCCUAAUAUAUAUAUAUAUAUAUAUAUAUAUAUGGUGGUGGAGUGAUUAUUAUUAGUGUAUUAUUAUC
This 1932-nucleotide long non-coding RNA is filed under the name Sparus aurata (gilthead seabream). RNAcentral's name for it is "lncRNA (ENSSAUG00010003992.1)". Lineage: Eukaryota; Metazoa; Chordata; Actinopteri; Spariformes; Sparidae. The record is from RNAcentral.